GCCGGACGCGGUAGUGCAUGCCUGUAGUCCCAGCUACUCGGGAGGCUGAGAUGGGAGGAUCGCUUGAGCCCAGGAGUUCUGGGCUGCAGUGCGCUAUGCCAAUUGGGUGUCCGCACUAAGUUCGGCAUCAAUAUGGUGACCUCUUGGGAGCGGGGGACCACCAGGUUACCUAAGGAGGGGUGAACCGGCCCAGGUCGGAAACGGAGCAGGUCAAAACUCCUGUGCUGAUCAGUAGUGGGAUCGCGCCUGUGAAUAGCCACUGCACUCCAGCCUGGGCAACAUAGCGAGACCCGGUCUCU
Molecule: signal recognition particle RNA, 299 nt
Filed under: Microcebus murinus (gray mouse lemur)
Lineage: Eukaryota; Metazoa; Chordata; Mammalia; Primates; Cheirogaleidae
Description: Metazoan signal recognition particle RNA (ENSMICG00000045664.1)
Rfam family: Metazoan signal recognition particle RNA
About the family: The signal recognition particle (SRP) is a universally conserved ribonucleoprotein. It is involved in the co-translational targeting of proteins to membranes.
Source: RNAcentral